CCAGCAGCCGCGGUAAUACGGGAGUGGCAAGCGUUAUCCGGAAUUAUUGGGCGUAAAGCGUCCGCAGGCGGCCCUUCAAGUCUGCUGUUAAAACGUGGAGCUUAACUCCAUCAUGGCAGUGGAAACUGUUGGGCUUGAGUGUGGUAGGGGCAGAGGGAAUUCCCGGUGUAGCGGUGAAAUGCGUAGAUAUCGGGAAGAACACCAGUGGCGAAGGCGCUCUGCUGGGCCAUAACUGACGCUCAUGGACGAAAGCCAGGGGAGCGAAAGGGAUUAGAUACCCCUGUAGUCCUGGCCGUAAACGAUGAACACUAGGUGUCGGGGGAAUCGACCCCCUCGGUGUCGUAGCCAACGCGUUAAGUGUUCCGCCUGGGGAGUACGCACGCAAGUGUGAAACUCAAAGGAAUUGACGGGGGCCCGCACAAGCGGUGGAGUAUGUGGUUUAAUUCGAUGCAACGCGAAGAACCUUACCAGGGUUUGACAUCCUGCGAACCUCUUGGAAACGAGAGGGUGCCUUCGGGAACGCAGUGACAGGUGGUGCAUGGCUGUCGUCAGCUCGUGUCGUGAGAUGUUGGGUUAAGUCCCGCAACGAGCGCAACCCACGUCUUUAGUUGCCAGCAUUUAGUUGGGCACUCUAGAGAGACCGCCGGUGAUAAACCGGAGGAAGGUGUGGAUGACGUCAAGUCAUCAUGCCCCUUACAUCCUGGGCUACACACGUACUACAAUGCUACGGACAAAGAGCAGCAAGUUCGCGAGGACAAGCAAAUCUCAUAAACCGUGGCUCAGUUCAGAUCGUAGGCUGCAACUCGCCUACGUGAAGGAGGAAUCGCUAGUAAUCGCAGGUCAGCAUACUGCGGUGAAUACGUUCCCGGGCCUUGUACACACCGCCCGUCACACCAUGGAAGUUGGCCACGCCCGAAGCCGUUACUCCAACCCUUGUGGAGGAGGACGUCGAAGGUGGGGCUGAUGACUGGGGUG
This 975-nucleotide ribosomal RNA is filed under the name uncultured bacterium. RNAcentral describes it as "bacterial SSU rRNA". It matches the Rfam family "Bacterial small subunit ribosomal RNA", at positions 508 to 1482 of the family's 1533-position model. The record is from RNAcentral.